Molecule: ribosomal RNA, 394 nt
Filed under: uncultured bacterium
Lineage: Bacteria
Description: bacterial SSU rRNA
Rfam family: Bacterial small subunit ribosomal RNA
Source: RNAcentral
AGCGAACGUUAGCGGCGGGCCUAACACAUGCAAGUCGAGCGAGAAAGUGGCUUCGGCCAUCAGUAAAGCGGCGGACGGGUGAGUAACACGUAGGUAAUCUUCCCUUGAGCGGGGGACAACGUUUCGAAAGGAACGCUAAUACCGCAUACGUUCCCGGGAGCUUCGGCCCCGGAGGAAAGCUAGGUCGCAGAUCCGGCACUCGAGGAGGAGCCUGCGUCGCAUCAGCUAGUUGGUGGGGUAACGGCCACCAAGGCGAAGACGCGUAGCUGGUCUGAGAGGAUGAUCAGCCACACUGGGACUGAGACACGGCCCAGACUCCUACGGGAGGCAGCAGUGGGGAAUAUUGGACAAUGGGCGCAAGCCUGAUCCAGCCACGCCGCGUGAGUGAUGAAGG